RNAcentral lists this ribosomal RNA (495 nucleotides) under uncultured bacterium. Its description in RNAcentral is "partial 16S ribosomal RNA". It matches the Rfam family "Bacterial small subunit ribosomal RNA", at positions 28 to 507 of the family's 1533-position model. The record is from RNAcentral.
GACGAACGCUGGCGGCGUGCCUAAUACAUGCAAGUAGAACGCUGAAGGAGGAGCUUGCUUCUCUGGAUUAGUUGCGAACGGGUGAGUAACGCGUAGGUAACCUGCCUGGUAGCGGGGGAUAACUAUUGGAAACGAUAGCUAAUACCGCAUAAUAGCAGUUGUUGCAUGAUAACUGUUUGAAAGGUGCAAUUGCACCACUACCAGAUGGACCUGCGUUGUAUUAGCUAGUUGGUGGGGUAACGGCUCACCAAGGCGACGAUACAUAGCCGACCUGAGAGGGUGAUCGGCCACCCUGGGACUGGGACACGGCCCAGACUCCUACGGGAGGCAGCAGUAGGGAAUCUUCGGCAAUGGGCGGAAAUCUGACCGAACAACGCCGCGUGAGUGAAGAAGGUUUUCGGAUCGUAAAGCUCUGUUGUAAGAGAAGAACGAGUGUGAGAGUGGAAAGUUCACACUGUGACGGUAUCUUACCAGAAAGGGACGGCUAACUACGUG